This 219-nucleotide ribosomal RNA is filed under the name uncultured Lactobacillus sp. RNAcentral's name for it is "partial 16S ribosomal RNA". It matches the Rfam family "Bacterial small subunit ribosomal RNA", at positions 144 to 355 of the family's 1533-position model. Lineage: Bacteria; Bacillati; Bacillota; Bacilli; Lactobacillales; Lactobacillaceae. The record is from RNAcentral.
UAACACCUGGAAACAGAUGUCUAAUACCGGAUAACAACAGAUGAUGCCUAUCAACUGUUUAAAAGAUGGUUCUGCUAUCACUCUUGGAUGGACCUGCGGUGCAUUAGCUAGUUGGUAGGGUAACGGCCUACCAAGGCGAUGAUGCAUAGCCGAGUUGAGAGACUGAUCGGCCACAUUGGGACUGAGACACGGCCCAAACUCCUACGGGAGGCAGCAGUC